CAAAGGUGAGCCAGUACAGGAUGGACCCGCGUCUGAUUAGCUAGUUGGUAAGGUAACGGCUUACCAAGGCGACGAUCAGUAGCCGACCUGAGAGGGUGAUCGGCCACACUGGAACUGAGACACGGUCCAAACUCCUACGGGAGGCAGCAGUGGGGAAUAUUGCACAAUGGGCGAAAGCCUGAUGCAGCAACGCCGCGUGAGUGAUGAAGGCCUUCGGGUCGUAAAACUCUGUCCUCAAGGAAGAUAAUGACGGUACUUGAGGAGGAAGCCCCGGCUAACUACGUGCCAGCAGCCGCGGUAAUACGUAGGGGGCUAGCGUUAUCCGGAUUUACUGGGCGUAAAGGGUGCGUAGGCGGUCUUUCAAGUCAGGAGUGAAAGGCUACGGCUCAACCGUAGUAAGCUCUUGAAACUGGGAGACUUGAGUGCAGGAGAGGAGAGUGGAAUUCCUAGUGUAGCGGUGAAAUGCGUAGAUAUUAGGAGGAACACCAGUUGCGAAGGCGGCUCUCUGGACUGUAACUGACGCUGAGGCACGAAAGCGUGGGGAGCAAACAGGAUUAGAUACCCUGGUAGUCCACGCUGUAAACGAUGAGUACUAGGUGUCGGGGGUUACCCCCUUCGGUGCCGC
This 625-nucleotide ribosomal RNA is filed under the name uncultured bacterium. RNAcentral describes it as "bacterial SSU rRNA". It matches the Rfam family "Bacterial small subunit ribosomal RNA", at positions 202 to 849 of the family's 1533-position model. The record is from RNAcentral.